This is a long non-coding RNA of Tripterygium wilfordii, 442 nucleotides long. RefSeq lists it as uncharacterized. NCBI's taxonomy places the organism in Eukaryota, Viridiplantae, Streptophyta, Magnoliopsida, Celastrales, Celastraceae. The record is from RefSeq and is a predicted model, not a curated record. The transcript is spliced from 2 exons.
GAACCCGCUAUAUAUAUUGAUAUACCUUCCAGUGACUCGUGGUUGCCGCGUCGGAACUCAUUAGGCACAACUCACCUCAUCUCCCCAAGAAACAGGAGAUCUUCCAUCAGUAAAAUCCGAUUGUAGAAGACAAACGUUUUACAAACUCUUGGACUCCCGAAUUUUGAGUAUCCUACUUUCACGCAAUUCACAGGGUUCAACAGGCAAUCGAUAUUUCACGAUCAAGGGUGUAGUCUUAUUUGUAGUAGCGGUCUUUAUAUAUCGUAUUAACAAUAGAAAGAUGGUCGAAAGAAAAAAUCAUUUAUUUGACAGGGCUUCUUCCAAUACCUAUGAAUUCCAUUGGACCCAGAAAUGAGAAAUUGGAAGAAUCUUUUGGGUCUUCCAAUAUCAAUAGGUUGAUUCUUUCACUCAAAUUGAAUGACACUUUUUGAUGUCUUCCUAA